ACGGAAGGCAGCAGUGGGGAAUAUUGGGCAAUGGGCGAAAGCCUGACCCAGCGACGCCGCGUGAGCGAAGAAGGUCUUCGGAUUGUAAAGCUCUGUUGAUAGGGACGAACAAAUGACGGUACCUAUCGAGGAAGCCACGGCUAACUACGUGCCAGCAGCCGCGGUAAUACGUAGGUGGCAAGCGUUAUCCGGAUUUACUGGGUGUAAAGGGUGUGUAGGCGGGGGAGCAAGUCAGACGUGAAAUCUAUGGGCUUAACUCAUAGACUGCGUCUGAAACUGUUCUUCUUGAGAGUCGGAGGGGUAAUCGGAAUUCCUAGUGUAGCGGUGAAAUGCGUAGAUAUUAGGAAGGACACCAGUGGCGAAGGCGGCUUACUGGACAGCAACUGACGUUGAGGCUCGAAAGCGUGGGGAGCAAACAGGAUUAGAUACCCUGGUA
This is a ribosomal RNA of 436 nucleotides. It matches the Rfam family "Bacterial small subunit ribosomal RNA", at positions 341 to 792 of the family's 1533-position model.